Molecule: long non-coding RNA, 389 nt
Filed under: Zonotrichia albicollis (white-throated sparrow)
Lineage: Eukaryota; Metazoa; Chordata; Aves; Passeriformes; Passerellidae
Description: lncRNA (ENSZALG00000013107.1)
Source: RNAcentral
CACGGCUGCUGAGCCCAUGGAGCAGCAGCUGCUCCAGCUCCAGAGUGGACAAUCCCAUUUUUUGGGUGUUUUCCUAAAUGUCAGGGGGGUUUGUGAUGCAAUCUGUGUUAGUGGCACCUCCUCUGGGGCAAAUCCUGACACUGGGCCCAGGGUGUGAUGCACUGAGCCUGGUGUGGAUCUCCUGGAUCUUCAAAGGACAGAGGAGAAAUGUUGCCAACUGAUUAAUAUUUUAAGCAUGUAGACAACCUGCAGACCUUGCUCUUCGACUCAGAUUUCUCCUUUCUCCCCUCCCCAAAAAUGGUUUUGCUGCUUUAAACUCAUUGUUCAGAUUUCCUACUCCCAGGUGAGACGUGAUUAUUUAUUCACUUCAUGUCACCAAAAUUCAGGAC